UACGUAGGGGGCAAGCGUUGUCCGGAAUCAUUGGGCGUAAAGCGCGUGUAGGCGGCUUGGUAAGUCCGGUGUGAAAACUUGGGGCUCAACCCCAAGCGUGCACCGGAUACUGCCUCGCUCGAGUCCGGGAGAGGGAAGCGGAACUCCUAGUGUAGCGGUGAAAUGCGCAGAUAUUAGGAAGAACACCGGUGGCGAAGGCGGCUUCCUGGAACGGUACUGACGCUGAGACGCGAAAGCGUGGGGAGCAAACAGGAUUAGAUACCCUGGUAGUCCACGCCGUAAACGAUGGGCACUAGAUGUGGGCGGUGUCGACUCCGUCCGUGUCGAAGCUAACGCAUUAAGUGCCCCGCCUGGGGAGUACGGCCGCAAGGCUAAA
RNAcentral lists this ribosomal RNA (376 nucleotides) under uncultured bacterium. RNAcentral describes it as "bacterial SSU rRNA". It matches the Rfam family "Bacterial small subunit ribosomal RNA", at positions 524 to 898 of the family's 1533-position model. The record is from RNAcentral.